GGCGCAGCAGGCGCGAAACCUUUACACUGCACGCCAGUGCGAUAAGGGGAUCCCAAGUGCGUAGGCAUAGAGCCUACGCUUUUGUCCACCCUAGGGUGGUGGACGAAUAAGGGCUGGGCAAGACCGGUGCCAGCCGCCGCGGUAAUACCGGCAGCCCAAGUGAUGGCCGAUCUUAUUGGGCCUAAAGCGUCCGUAGCUGGCCGCACAAGUCCAUCGGGAAAUCCACCUGCUCAACAGGUGGCCGUCCGGUGGAAACUGUGUGGCUUGGGACCGGAAGGCGCGACGGGUACGUCCGGGGUAGGAGUGAAAUCCUGUAAUCCUGGACGGACCGCCGAUGGCGAAAGCACGUCGCGAAAACGGAUCCGACAGUGAGGGACGAAAGCUAGGGUCUCGAACCGGAUUAGAUACCCGGGUAGUCCUAGCCGUAAACACUGCCUGCUAGGUGUGGCUCCCACUACGAGUGGGUGCUGUGCCGUAGGGAAGCCGCUAAGCAGGCCGC
This 499-nucleotide ribosomal RNA is filed under the name uncultured Halorubrum sp. RNAcentral's name for it is "bacterial SSU rRNA". It matches the Rfam family "Archaeal small subunit ribosomal RNA", at positions 329 to 827 of the family's 1478-position model. The record is from RNAcentral. Lineage: Archaea; Methanobacteriati; Methanobacteriota; Halobacteria; Halobacteriales; Haloferacaceae.